Molecule: non-coding RNA, 92 nt
Organism: Mycena metata
Lineage: Eukaryota; Fungi; Basidiomycota; Agaricomycetes; Agaricales; Mycenaceae
Source: the annotation of a GenBank genome assembly
GACCUGAUAGCACACUGGUUAGUGUAUCUGCUCUACUUACAUACCACAUUUGUUGUAAGUAGAAGAUCCCUGUUCGAUUCGGGGUCAGGUCA